RNAcentral lists this long non-coding RNA (1216 nucleotides) under Nicotiana tabacum (common tobacco). Its description in RNAcentral is "long non-coding RNA (NTAB_LNC007845)". Lineage: Eukaryota; Viridiplantae; Streptophyta; Magnoliopsida; Solanales; Solanaceae. The record is from RNAcentral.
GACUUGAGUCUGAAGAAAACUGGAAGUUGACCCUAUUCUUCAUGCGUGCACCCUGCUGCUUGCACUUGAAAUAAACGUGAACUUGCGGUAGACUCGAGCUUGCAAACCUUGUCCUUCAUGCGGCUUGUGCUACUUCUCAUUUGACUUGAAAAAAACUGGAGGUUAACCCUAUUCUUCAGGCGGGAUCCUUCUGCCUCUAACUUGAACUUGAAAACUGAAAGUUGACCCUGUUCUUCAGGCGGGAUCCUGAUGCCUCUUUGACUUGAACUUGUAAACUGAAAAUUGACGUUGUUCUUCAGGCAGGCUCUUGAUGUUUCUAUACCUUGAACUUGAAAAUUGAAAGUUGACCAUGUUCUUUAGGCGGGCUCCUGAUGCUUCUCUGACUUGAAAUUGUAAACUGAAAAUUGACCCUGUUCUUCAGGAGAGCUUCUCCUGAUGCUUCUCUAACUUGAACUUGAAAAUUGAACGCUGACCCUGUUCUUCAGGCAGGCUCCUGAUGCCUCUCUGACUUGAACUUGUAAACUGAAAGUUGUCCCUGUUCUUCAGGAGGGCUUCUCCUGAUGCUUCUCUAACUUGAACUUGGAAAAUGAAAAUUGACCCUGUACUCCAAAUGGGCUCUUGAUGCUUCUUGAACUUGAAAAUUAAAAGUUGACCCUUUUUUUCAAGCAGGCUCCUGAUGCCUCUUGAACUUUAAAAUCGAAAGUUGACCCUAUUCUUCAGGCGGGCUCCUAAUGCCUCUAACUCGAACUCUAAGUGAAUUCUGAAAUGACUUCCCUCGUUCUCCAGGUGGGCGCUUGCUAAUGACUUGAAACUUAAAAUGAAUUCCCUCAUUCUCCAGAUGGGCACCUGCUAAUGCCUUGAACUUGAAAUGAAUUUCCUCAUUCUCCAGGUGGGCGCCUAGUAAUUACUUGAAACUUAAAAUAAAUUUUCUCAUUCUCCAGAUGGGCGCCUGCUAAUGCCUUGAACUUGAAAUAAAUUUCCUCAUUUUCCAAGUGGGAGCCUGAUAACUUAAAACUUGAAAUGAAUUCCCUCAUUUUCCAGGUGGGUGCCUGAUGACUUAAAACUUAAAAUAAAUUCCCUCGUUCUACAAGUGGGCUCCUGAUGACUUAACUUGAAAUGAAUUCCCUCGUUCUCCGGGUGGGCGCCUGAUGACUUAAAACUUGAAAUAAAUUCCCUCGUUCUUCAGGUGGGGGCCGGAUGACUUAAAACUUGAAAU